UAUAGAUAUAUAGGAUAAAGUCUGUUAGUUUUCAAGAUUAAAGGUGUAUAUAAU
This 54-nucleotide transfer RNA is filed under the name Tetragnatha maxillosa. Its description in RNAcentral is "tRNA-Trp". Lineage: Eukaryota; Metazoa; Arthropoda; Arachnida; Araneae; Tetragnathidae. The record is from RNAcentral.